This 272-nucleotide ribosomal RNA is filed under the name Escherichia coli. RNAcentral's name for it is "partial 16S ribosomal RNA". It matches the Rfam family "Bacterial small subunit ribosomal RNA", at positions 1 to 269 of the family's 1533-position model. Lineage: Bacteria; Pseudomonadati; Pseudomonadota; Gammaproteobacteria; Enterobacterales; Enterobacteriaceae. The record is from RNAcentral.
AAAUUGAAGAGUUUGAUCAUGGCUCAGAUUGAACGCUGGCGGCAGGCCUAACACAUGCAAGUCGAACGGUAACAGGAAGCAGCUUGCUGCUUCGCUGACGAGUGGCGGACGGGUGAGUAAUGUCUGAGAAACUGCCUGAUGGAGGGGGAUAACUACUGGAAACGGUAGCUAAUACCGCAUAACGUCGCAAGACCAAAGAGGGGGACCUUCGGGCCUCUUGCCAUCGGAUGUGCCCAGAUGGGAUUAGCUUGUUGGUGGGGUAACGGCUCACC